Long non-coding RNA from Pan paniscus (pygmy chimpanzee), 554 nucleotides. NCBI's taxonomy places the organism in Eukaryota, Metazoa, Chordata, Mammalia, Primates, Hominidae. The record is from Ensembl.
UGGAAAUUAGAUGAUCAGACUACAGUGGAUGGUUAAAAUGAACUCCAAGAAUUUAGAUAAAUAAGGCUGAAGAAUGUGGUCCACAGUGAAACUUAAUCCCCGAGGUGUUACUGUCUCUCCAUGCCUGCAUGUGGAUCUCACCAUUCCUCUAGUCCUGGUGCUUGCUUUCAACACAGAGCUCUGGACUGCAAGGCAUUUGAUUUCUGUGGCGAACGUCAAACUUCGAAGGGGCAAGACGAUAGCUGGCAAUGUUUAUUCUGCAUACUUCACAGUAUUCUUUCACAAUAUUUUAAUUUUUGCAUCUCAAAAUUCCAUUGACAAUCAUUGAACAACUUCCCUUUGCUUUUACAAAAGAAGAAAGUGCAAAGGUGUACAUAAAAAUCUCUGAUCAUUUUUAGCACUUCUGCCUGUAUGUAACUGGGAGCUUUGUGAGCCUGUGGUUUCUCUCCUCCUUGGUAAGCCUAUCCAUCAAUAGGUGCUGUGUAGUUCCAACAGUGAGGAUGUGAAAAGAGGGCAGUGACAAAUAUCCUGUGAAAAUAAAACUUUGUCUCCUG